RNAcentral lists this ribosomal RNA (501 nucleotides) under uncultured bacterium. RNAcentral's name for it is "bacterial SSU rRNA". It matches the Rfam family "Bacterial small subunit ribosomal RNA", at positions 28 to 521 of the family's 1533-position model. The record is from RNAcentral.
GACGAACGCUGGCGGCGUGGAUUAGGCAUGCAAGUCGAACGGUAUCAUCCUUUCGGGGGUGAGAGAGUGGCGAACUGGUGAGUAACACGUAGGUUAUCUACCCUCAAGACGGGGACAACCCAGGGAAACUUGGGCUAAUACCGGAUGUGAGCAACUUUUAGUUGUUUGAAAGGUGGCGUAAGCUGUCGCUUGGGGAUGAGCCUGCGUCCUAUUAGUUAGUUGGUGAGGUAACGGCUCACCUAGGCAAUGAUAGGUAGGCGGCCUUAACGGGUGGUCGCCCACACUGGGAUUGAGAUACGGCCCAGACUCCUACGGGAGGCAGCAGUCGAGAAUAGUCUACAAUGGUCGGAAGACUGAUAGUGCGACGCCGCGUGAACGAUGAAUCCCUUCGGGGUUAAAGUUCUUUUAUAUGUGAGCAGUGCUUCUUAUAUUAACAGUAUGGGGAGAGAGAUAUUAGCAUAUGAAUAAGCAACGGCUAAACUCCGUGCCAGCAGCCGCGGU